GUGGGGAAUAUUGGAAUGGGCGCAAGCCUGAUCCAGCCAUGCCGCGUGAGUGAUGAAGGCCCUAGGGUUGUAAAGCUCUUUCACCGGAGAAGAUAAUGACGGUAUCCGGAGAAGAAGCUCCGGCUAACUUCGUGCCAGCAGCCGCGGUAAUACGAAGGGGGCUAGCGUUGUUCGGAAUUACUGGGCGUAAAGCGCACGUAGGCGGACAUUUAAGUCAGGGGUGAAAUCCCGGAGCUCAACUCCGGAACUGCCUUUGAUACUGGGUGUCUGGAGUAUGGAAGAGGUGAGUGGAAUUCCGAGUGUAGAGGUGAAAUUCGUAGAUAUUCGGAGGAACACCAGUGGCGAAGGCGGCUCACUGGUCCAUUACUGACGCUGAGGUGCGAAAGCGUGGGGAGCAAACAGGAUUAGAUACCCCUGUAGUCC
This 423-nucleotide ribosomal RNA is filed under the name uncultured bacterium. Its description in RNAcentral is "partial 16S ribosomal RNA". It matches the Rfam family "Bacterial small subunit ribosomal RNA", at positions 354 to 796 of the family's 1533-position model. The record is from RNAcentral.